Dreissena polymorpha is the source of this 1029-nucleotide long non-coding RNA. RefSeq lists it as uncharacterized. The transcript has 3 exons. Lineage: Eukaryota; Metazoa; Mollusca; Bivalvia; Myida; Dreissenidae. The record is from RefSeq and is a predicted model, not a curated record.
UUCACUGUGAAUGAACAAAAACUGUCACGUGACCCCAAAAGUCAACGUCAGUAGGCGUUUUACGAAGGAAAACAGCCGCACCAGAUAUGUCACAUGUGUGUCGUUUUUGUGGAGAUGCCCUCAAAACCAAGUGGGGAUUAAAGCUGCACGAGGACAGGCAUCUCGGCGUGUCAAAAUAUUCAUGCUGUGAUAAGCAAUUUAGUAGAAAAGAGGACCUCACCAGACACAUGUGCGGUGUGCAUGGGGAAACGAAAGAACAUGUGUGUCCAACCUGCUCUGCAGAAUUUGCAACGAAAACUCUAUUAACAAGACACAGACGACGAGAGGAAGAAGAGGCAAGAUUCAAGUGUGAUGUGUGUGGCGCAGAGUUAAAACAAAGUGUGGACCUUCAGGUGCAUAUGCACAUCCAUAGUGACGAGAGAGUGCAAAAAUGUGACAUAUGUGACAAGACUUACAGGCACAGAAGUAGUCUGUAAAACACAGGGCAAACAAACAUGUCAAUUGAAUAUAAUAUUAUACAUUUUAGAGCAAGUUGUUGCACGCUAUUUUUAUUAUUUAGUUCUGUUUUGAUUUAUUAUUGUUCAUUGUUACCGGUAGUACAUUGUACAGUUAAUAUGAUCUCACAUUGUUUAUUUUUUUCCGUCCGAAUGCCGAGGUAUAUUGUUUUUCCCUCCUAAUAAUCAAUAAUAUCCGAUAGUGUUGUCAAUUCUUUGAAUUUGCUUGUUUGAUUUUUUCUUUAUCGCAGUUUGAUUUUCAAUAUGACCGGUUGAUGGUAUUAGCAGUAAUUGUUUGGUGAUAAUUUAACAUUAAAAUAGUACGAAUAUGUGUGUAUACCCCGAUAUCUUAAUGCAUUCAUGCCAAUCAGUAAUGUGUCACAUUUUAACCGCUUUGGCAGAUCAUUCAUUUGUUUUAAUUUACAUAGAUAUUCGGACGCAUUGUACUUUUAUAUUCCUAUUCAACGCACUUUUGUCUUGAAUCCUAAAACCCUGUAAACAUCGAAGGCGACUAUAUGUGUUAUAUUCUGAGAAA